AACGAACGCUGGUGGCGCGCCUAAUACAUGCAAGUCGAGCGAGAAGGUGUAGCAAUACACUUGUAAAGCGGCGAACGGGUGAGGAAUGCAUGGGUAACCUACCCUCGAGUGGGGAAUAACUAGCCGAAAGGUUAGCUAAUACCGCAUACGUUUCCGGAACUUCGGUUUCGGAAAGAAAGCAAUACCGUGGGUAUUGCGCUCCUGGAUGGGCUCAUGUCCUAUCAGCUUGUUGGUGAGGUAACGGCUCACCAAGGCUUCGACGGUAGCUGGUCUGAGAGGACGAUCAGCCACACUGGCACUGCGACACGGGCCAGACUCCUACGGAGGCAGCAGUAAGGAAUAUUGCGCAAUGGACGAAAGUCUGACGCAGCGACGCCGCGUGGGGGAUGAAGGUCUUCGGAUUGUAAACCCUUUCGGAGG
Molecule: ribosomal RNA, 420 nt
Filed under: uncultured bacterium
Lineage: Bacteria
Description: bacterial SSU rRNA
Rfam family: Bacterial small subunit ribosomal RNA
Source: RNAcentral